ACGUGCCCUUCUCUAAGGAAUAGCCACUGGAAACGGUGAGUAAUACCUUAUACGCCCUUCGGGGGAAAGAUUUAUCGGAGAAGGAUCGGCCCGCGUUAGAUUAGAUAGUUGGUGGGGUAACGGCCUACCAAGUCUACGAUCUAUAGCUGGUUUUAGAGGAUGAUCAGCAACACUGGGACUGAGACACGGCCCAGACUCCUACGGGAGGCAGCAGCGGGGAAUCUUGGACAAUGGGGGCAACCCUGAUCCAGCCAUGCCGCGUGAGUGAUGAAGGCCUUAGGGUCGUAUAGCUCUUUCGCCUGUGAUGAUAAUGACAGUAGCAGGUAAAGAAACCCCGGCUAACUCCGUGCCAGCAGCCGCGGUAAUACGGAGGGGGUUAGCGUUGUUCGGAAUUACUGGGCGUAAAGCGCGCGUAGGCGGACCAGAAAGUUGGGGGUGAAAUCCCGGGGCUCAACCCCGGAACUGCCUCCAAAACUCCUGGUCUUGAGUUCGAGAGAGGUGAGUGGAAUUCCGAGUGUAGAGGUGAAAUUCGUAGAUAUUCGGAGGAACA
This 550-nucleotide ribosomal RNA is filed under the name uncultured bacterium. RNAcentral's name for it is "bacterial SSU rRNA". It matches the Rfam family "Bacterial small subunit ribosomal RNA", at positions 124 to 708 of the family's 1533-position model. The record is from RNAcentral.